This 74-nucleotide transfer RNA is filed under the name Pseudomonadota bacterium. Its description in RNAcentral is "tRNA-Gln". It matches the Rfam family "tRNA". Rfam says of the family: Transfer RNA (tRNA) molecules are approximately 80 nucleotides in length. Their secondary structure includes four short double-helical elements and three loops (D, anti-codon, and T loops). Lineage: Bacteria; Pseudomonadati; Pseudomonadota. RNAcentral also lists the same sequence under 2 other names. The record is from RNAcentral.
UGGGGGGUCGGCUAAUGGAAGGCCAGCUGCCUUUGGAGCAGCGAGUCCAGGUUCGAGUCCUGGCCCCCCAGCCA